This 629-nucleotide ribosomal RNA is filed under the name Pseudozyma hubeiensis. RNAcentral's name for it is "partial large subunit ribosomal RNA". It matches the Rfam family "Eukaryotic large subunit ribosomal RNA", at positions 42 to 652 of the family's 3401-position model. The record is from RNAcentral. Lineage: Eukaryota; Fungi; Basidiomycota; Ustilaginomycetes; Ustilaginales; Ustilaginaceae.
AUCAAUAAGCGGAGGAAAAGAAACUAACAAGGAUUCCCCUAGUAACGGCGAGUGAAGAGGGAAGAGCCCAAGAUUGAAAGCUGGCGCCUUCGGCGUCCGCAUUGUAAUCUCAAGAAGUGUUUUCCGCUUCGGACCAUGCCUAAGUCCCUUGGAAAAGGGCAUCAUAGAGGGUGAUAAUCCCGUACAUGGCAUGGAGCGCCCGAAGCUUUGUGAUACGCUUUCUAAGAGUCGAGUUGUUUGGGAAUGCAGCUCAAAAUGGGUGGUAAAUGCCAUCUAAGGCUAAAUAUUGGGGAGAGACCGAUAGCGAACAAGUACAGUGAUGGAAAGAUGAAAAGAACUUUGAAAAGAGAGUUAAACAGUACGUGAAAUUGCCAAAAGGGAAGGGUAGGAGGUCAGAGAUGCGUCGCAGGAUUCAGCCUUGCUUUUGCUUGGUGUUUUUCCUGCGUUGCAGGCCAACGUCGGUUUUGGGCACUGGAGAAGGGUAGGAGGAACGUGGCACCUCUCGGGGUGUGUUAUAACCUCCUACUGGAUACAGCGACCGAGACCGAGGAACGCAGCGUACUCGUAAGAGCGGGCCUUUUCGCACUUUUACGCUUAUGGCGUUGGCAUAAUGGGCCACUACCACCCCA